UACGUAGGGCGCAAGCGUUGUCCGGAAUCAUUGGGCGUAAAGAGCUCGUAGGCGGCCUGUCGCGUCCGCUGUGAAAUCCCUCGGCUUAACCGAGGAACUGCCCUCCAAACUGCUUGGCUUGAGUCCGGGAGAGGUGAGUGGAAUUCCCAGUGUAGCGGUGAAAUGCGUAGAUAUUGGGAGGAACACCAGUGGCGAAGGCGGCUCACUGGACCGGAACUGACGCUGAGGCGCGAAAGCGUGGGGAGCAAACGGG
This 253-nucleotide ribosomal RNA is filed under the name uncultured bacterium. RNAcentral's name for it is "partial 16S ribosomal RNA". It matches the Rfam family "Bacterial small subunit ribosomal RNA", at positions 524 to 776 of the family's 1533-position model. The record is from RNAcentral.